AAAUGAAGGAAGCAUGGUAAUGUGCACAAAGAUUGAAUAGGGUCAUCAUUUCUGCUUGCUUUGAUGCCUGUGGCCGUGAUAUGCAGGCCUGGAUCAGACCUACAUAU
Thalictrum thalictroides is the source of this 107-nucleotide non-coding RNA. NCBI's taxonomy places the organism in Eukaryota, Viridiplantae, Streptophyta, Magnoliopsida, Ranunculales, Ranunculaceae. The record is from the annotation of a GenBank genome assembly.